UACGUAGGGGGCUAGCGUUGUCCGGAAUCAUUGGGCGUAAAGAGCGUGUAGGCGGCCCGGUAAGUCCGCUGUAAAAGUCAAAGGCUCAACCUUUGAAUGUCAGUGGAUACUGCCGGGCUAGAGUCCGGAAGAGGCGAGUGGAACUCCUGGUGUAGCGGUGGAAUGCGCAGAUAUCAGGAAGAACACCAACGGCGAAGGCAGCUCGCUGGGGACGGUACUGACGCUGAGACGCGAAAGCGUGGGGGAGCGAACAGG
Molecule: ribosomal RNA, 255 nt
Filed under: uncultured bacterium
Lineage: Bacteria
Description: partial 16S ribosomal RNA
Rfam family: Bacterial small subunit ribosomal RNA
Source: RNAcentral